GCGGUCGUGGCGGAAUUGGUAGACGCGCAGCGUUGAGGUCGCUGUGCCGCAAGGCGUGGAAGUUCGAGUCUUCUCGACCGCACCA
RNAcentral lists this transfer RNA (85 nucleotides) under Sphingomonas sp. RNAcentral describes it as "tRNA-Leu". It matches the Rfam family "tRNA". Rfam says of the family: Transfer RNA (tRNA) molecules are approximately 80 nucleotides in length. Their secondary structure includes four short double-helical elements and three loops (D, anti-codon, and T loops). RNAcentral also lists the same sequence under 60 other names. Lineage: Bacteria; Pseudomonadati; Pseudomonadota; Alphaproteobacteria; Sphingomonadales; Sphingomonadaceae. The record is from RNAcentral.